This 896-nucleotide ribosomal RNA is filed under the name Bacillus subtilis. RNAcentral describes it as "bacterial SSU rRNA". It matches the Rfam family "Bacterial small subunit ribosomal RNA", at positions 547 to 1447 of the family's 1533-position model. Lineage: Bacteria; Bacillati; Bacillota; Bacilli; Caryophanales; Bacillaceae. The record is from RNAcentral.
GAUAUUGGGCGUAAGGGCUCGCAGGCGGUUUCUUAAGUCUGAUGUGAAAGCCCCCCGCUCAACCGGGGAGGGUCAUUGGAAACUGGGGAACUUGAGUGCAGAAGAGGAGAGUGGAAUUCCACGUGUAGCGGUGAAAUGCGUAGAGAUGUGGAGGAACACCAGUGGCGAAGGCGACUCUCUGGUCUGUAACUGACGCUGAGGAGCGAAAGCGUGGGGAGCGAACAGGAUUAGAUACCCUGGUAGUCCACGCCGUAAACGAUGAGUGCUAAGUGUUAGGGGGUUUCCGCCCCUUAGUGCUGCAGCUAACGCAUUAAGCACUCCGCCUGGGGAGUACGGUCGCAAGACUGAAACUCAAAGGAAUUGACGGGGGCCCGCACAAGCGGUGGAGCAUGUGGUUUAAUUCGAAGCAACGCGAAGAACCUUACCAGGUCUUGACAUCCUCUGACAAUCCUAGAGAUAGGACGUCCCCUUCGGGGGCAGAGUGACAGGUGGUGCAUGGUUGUCGUCAGCUCGUGUCGUGAGAUGUUGGGUUAAGUCCCGCAACGAGCGCAACCCUUGAUCUUAGUUGCCAGCAUUCAGUUGGGCACUCUAAGGUGACUGCCGGUGACAAACCGGAGGAAGGUGGGGAUGACGUCAAAUCAUCAUGCCCCUUAUGACCUGGGCUACACACGUGCUACAAUGGACAGAACAAAGGGCAGCGAAACCGCGAGGUUAAGCCAAUCCCACAAAUCUGUUCUCAGUUCGGAUCGCAGUCUGCAACUCGACUGCGUGAAGCUGGAAUCGCUAGUAAUCGCGGAUCAGCAUGCCGCAGGUGAAUACGUUCCCGGGCCUUGUACACACCCCCCGUCCUGCACGAGAGUUUGUAACACCCGAAGUCGGUGAGGUAACCUUACACA